UGUAUAGUGGGGCGUGGGAGAGGGGUAGUGCGGUGGGGGCAAGGGGUAUGCGGAUUUAUUGGGUUUGAAGGGUGCGUAGGCGAGCCUAUAAGUCAGUGGUGGAAUCGCACAGCUUAACUGUGAAACUGCCGUUGAUACUGUAGGUCUUGAGUAAAUUUGAAGUGGCUGGAAUAAGUAGUGUAGCGGUGAAAUGCAUAGAUAUUACUUAGAACUCCAAUUGCGAAGGGAGGUCACUAAGAAUUAACUGUCGCUGAGGGACGAAAGCGUGGGGAGCGAACAGGAUUAGAUACCCGGGUAGUC
RNAcentral lists this ribosomal RNA (300 nucleotides) under uncultured Halobellus sp. RNAcentral's name for it is "bacterial SSU rRNA". The stretch from base 52 to 300 matches the Rfam family "Bacterial small subunit ribosomal RNA", at positions 547 to 795 of the family's 1533-position model. Lineage: Archaea; Methanobacteriati; Methanobacteriota; Halobacteria; Halobacteriales; Haloferacaceae. The record is from RNAcentral.